AUACAUAGGGGGCGAGCGUUAUCCGGAUUUAUUGGGCGUAAAGGGUGCGUAGGCGGUAAAUUAAGUCUAAGGUUAAAGUGCAGGGCUCAACCCUGUGAUGCCUUAGAAACUGGUUUACUUGAGUUUGGUAGAGGUAAGUGGAACUCCAUGUGUAGCGGUAAAAUGCGUAAAUAUAUGGAAGAACACCAGUGGUGAAGGCGGCGUACUGGGCCACAACUGACGCUGAGGCACGAAAGCGUGGGGAGCAAACAGGAUUAGAUACCCUGGUAGUCCACACUGUAAACGAUGAAUGCUAGGUGUAGGGGGUAUCGACCCCUUCUGUGCCGCAGUUAACACAAUAAGCAUUCCGCCUGGGGAGUACGGCCGCAAGGUUGAAACUCACAUGAAUUGACGGGG
Molecule: ribosomal RNA, 396 nt
Filed under: uncultured bacterium
Lineage: Bacteria
Description: partial 16S ribosomal RNA
Rfam family: Bacterial small subunit ribosomal RNA
Source: RNAcentral